Molecule: ribosomal RNA, 253 nt
Filed under: uncultured bacterium
Lineage: Bacteria
Description: partial 16S ribosomal RNA
Rfam family: Bacterial small subunit ribosomal RNA
Source: RNAcentral
GACGAACCGUGCGAACGUUGUUCGGAUUCACUGGGCUUAAAGGGCGCGUAGGCGGGCGACCAAGUCGGGGGUGAAAUCUUUCGGCCCAACCGGAAAAGGGCCCCCGAUACUGGCCGCCUCGAGGGGGGUAGGGGCAUGCGGAACUUCCGGUGGAGCGGUGAAAUGCGUAGAUAUCGGAAGGAACGCCGGUGGCGAAAGCGGCGUGCUGGACCCCUUCUGACGCUGAGGCGCGAAAGCCAGGGGAGCAAACGGG